UGUAGAUGAGCUCUCUGAAGUCAAAACUCAGAAACCGUCAGAAACUUCUGCUUCCAUGCCAAAGAAGCUAACGCGUUCCCCGAAAAAAGUCCCGGUGAAAAAUGGAGUGGCGUCACCGACGAAAUCUUCACCAAAGAUCCCACCCAUCAAAGCUCCCGUCGGUCAAGCUCCAACUCCUAACGUCAGAGCGUUACCUCAAAAAUAGGAUCGCUACAAAACGUUAAGCAUAAACCUGGAGGAGGAGAGAAAAAG
Long non-coding RNA from Limulus polyphemus (Atlantic horseshoe crab), 252 nucleotides. RefSeq lists it as uncharacterized. The transcript is spliced from 3 exons. Lineage: Eukaryota; Metazoa; Arthropoda; Merostomata; Xiphosura; Limulidae. The record is from RefSeq and is a predicted model, not a curated record.